UACAGAGGGUGCGAGCGUUGUUCGGAAUUACUGGGCGUAAAGCGCACGUAGGCGGACUGUUAAGUCGGGGGUGAAAUCCUGGGGCUCAACCUCAGAAUUGCCUCCGAUACUGGCAGUCUCGAGUGCGGGAGAGGUGAGUGGAAUUCCCAGUGUAGAGGUGAAAUUCGUAGAUAUUGGGAAGAACACCAGUGGCGAAGGCGGCUCACUGGCCCGUAACUGACGCUGAGGUGCGAAAGCGUGGGGAGCAAACAGG
Molecule: ribosomal RNA, 253 nt
Filed under: uncultured bacterium
Lineage: Bacteria
Description: partial 16S ribosomal RNA
Rfam family: Bacterial small subunit ribosomal RNA
Source: RNAcentral